GUCUACAGCCAUGCCACCCUGAAUGUGCCCGAUCUUGUCUGAUUGCAGAAGCUAAGCAGGGUCAGGCAUAGUUAGUACUUGGAUGGGAGACCACGUAGGAAUACCAGAUGCUAUAGGCA
This 119-nucleotide ribosomal RNA is filed under the name Pteropus alecto (black flying fox). The record is from RNAcentral. Lineage: Eukaryota; Metazoa; Chordata; Mammalia; Chiroptera; Pteropodidae.